AUUGAACGCUGGCGGCAUGCCUUACACAUGCAAGUCGAACGGUGACAGGUCUUCGGAUGCUGACGAGUGGCGAACGGGUGAGUAAUACAUCGGAACGUGCCCGAUCGUGGGGGAUAACGAAGCGAAAGCUUUGCUAAUACCGCAUACGAUCUACGGAUGAAAUCGGGGGAUCUUCGGACCUCGCGCGGACGGAGCGGCCGAUGGCAGAUUAGGUAGUUGGUGGGAUAAAAGCUUACCAAGCCGACGAUCUGUAGCUGGUCUGAGAGGAUGAUCAGCCACACUGGGACUGAGACACGGCCCAGACUCCUACGGGAGGCAGCAGUGGGGAAUUUUGGACAAUGGGCGCAAGCCUGAUCCAGCCAUGCCGCGUGCAGGAUGAAGGCCUUCGGGUUGUAAACUGCUUUUGUACGGAACGAAAAGGUGCCUUCUAAUAAAGGGCGCUCAUGACGGUACCGUAAGAAUAAGCACCGGCUAACUACGUG
RNAcentral lists this ribosomal RNA (482 nucleotides) under uncultured bacterium. Its description in RNAcentral is "partial 16S ribosomal RNA". It matches the Rfam family "Bacterial small subunit ribosomal RNA", at positions 30 to 507 of the family's 1533-position model. The record is from RNAcentral.